This 478-nucleotide ribosomal RNA is filed under the name uncultured bacterium. RNAcentral's name for it is "bacterial SSU rRNA". It matches the Rfam family "Bacterial small subunit ribosomal RNA", at positions 28 to 496 of the family's 1533-position model. The record is from RNAcentral.
GAUGAACGCUAGCGAUAGGCCUAACACAUGCAAGUCGAGGGGCAUCACAUGAAGUAGCAAUACGGAUGGUGGCGACCGGCGCACGGGUGAGUAACACGUAUGCAACCUGCCUUCAACAAGGGGAUAACCCGUUGAAAGACGGACUAAUACCCUAUAACACAGGGGUCCCGCAUGGGGAUAUUUGUUAAAGGACAACCGGUUGAAGAUGGGCAUGCGUUCCAUUAGCUAGUUGGCGGGGUAACGGCCCACCAAGGCAACGAUGGAUAGGGGAACUGAGAGGUUUAUCCCCCACACUGGUACUGAGACACGGACCAGACUCCUACGGGAGGCAGCAGUGAGGAAUAUUGGUCAAUGGGCGAGAGCCUGAACCAGCCAAGUCGCGUGCAGGAAGAAUGUCCUAUGGAUUGUAAACUGCUUUUGCAGGGGAAUAAAGUGAGCCACGUGUGGUUUUUGUAUGUACUCUGCGAAUAAGGAUCGG